This 253-nucleotide ribosomal RNA is filed under the name uncultured bacterium. RNAcentral describes it as "partial 16S ribosomal RNA". It matches the Rfam family "Bacterial small subunit ribosomal RNA", at positions 524 to 776 of the family's 1533-position model. The record is from RNAcentral.
GACAGAGGUGCCGAGCGUUAGGCGGAAUCACUGGGCUUAAAGCGUGUGUAGGUGGAUGCCUAAGUACCUUGUGAAAUCCCACGGCUUAACCGUGGAACUGCUCGGUAUACUGGGUGUCUUGAGCCAGCUAGGGGCUACCGGAACAAAUGGUGGAGCGGUGAAAUGCGUAGAUAUCAUUUGGAACGCCAAUGGUGAAAACAGGUAGCUGGGGCUGUGCUGACACUGAGACACGAAAGCCAGGGGAGCAAACGGG